AUUGAACGCUGGCGGCAGGCCUAACACAUGCAAGUCGAGCGGCAGCGGAAAGUAGCUUGCUACUUUGCCGGCGAGCGGCGGACGGGUGAGUAAUGUCUGGGAAACUGCCUGAUGGAGGGGGAUAACUACUGGAAACGGUAGCUAAUACCGCAUGACCUCGAAAGAGCAAAGUGGGGGAUCUUCGGACCUCACGCCAUCGGAUGUGCCCAGAUGGGAUUAGCUAGUAGGUGAGGUAAUGGCUCACCUAGGCGACGAUCCCUAGCUGGUCUGAGAGGAUGACCAGCCACACUGGAACUGAGACACGGUCCAGACUCCUACGGGAGGCAGCAGUGGGGAAUAUUGCACAAUGGGCGCAAGCCUGAUGCAGCCAUGCCGCGUGUGUGAAGAAGGCCUUAGGGUUGUAAAGCACUUUCAGCGAGGAGGAAGGCAUCACACUUAAUACGUGUGGUGAUUGACGUUACUCGCAGAAGAAGCACCGGCUAACUCCGUGCCAGCAGCCGCGGUAAUACGGAGGGUGCAAGCGUUAAUCGGAAUUACUGGGCGUAAAGCGCACGCAGGCGGUUUGUUAAGUCAGAUGUGAAAUCCCCGCGCUUAACGUGGGAACCGCAUUUGAAACUGGCAAGCUAGAGUCUUGUAGAGGGGGGUAGAAUUCCAGGUGUAGCGGUGAAAUGCGUAGAGAUCUGGAGGAAUACCGGUGGCGAAGGCGGCCCCCUGGACAAAGACUGACGCUCAGGUGCGAAAGCGUGGGGAGCAAACAGG
This 759-nucleotide ribosomal RNA is filed under the name uncultured Enterobacteriaceae bacterium. RNAcentral's name for it is "bacterial SSU rRNA". It matches the Rfam family "Bacterial small subunit ribosomal RNA", at positions 28 to 776 of the family's 1533-position model. The record is from RNAcentral. Lineage: Bacteria; Pseudomonadati; Pseudomonadota; Gammaproteobacteria; Enterobacterales; Enterobacteriaceae.